RNAcentral lists this ribosomal RNA (473 nucleotides) under bacterium A6S_VP7_C5. RNAcentral's name for it is "bacterial SSU rRNA". It matches the Rfam family "Bacterial small subunit ribosomal RNA", at positions 337 to 827 of the family's 1533-position model. The record is from RNAcentral.
UCCUACGGGAGGCAGCAGUGGGGAAUAUUGGACAAUGGGCGCAAGCCUGAUCCAGCCAUGCCGCGUGAGUGAUGAAGGCCCUAGGGUUGUAAAGCUCUUUCAGCGAGGAGGAUAAUGACGUUACUCGCAGAAGAAGCCCCGGCUAACUUCGUGCCAGCAGCCGCGGUAAUACGAAGGGGGCUAGCGUUGUUCGGAAUCACUGGGCGUAAAGCGCACGUAGGCGGACUUUUAAGUCAGGGGUGAAAUCCCGGGGCUCAACCCCGGAACUGCCUUUGAUACUGGAAGUCUUGAGUCCGAGAGAGGUGAGUGGAACUCCGAGUGUAAAGGUGAAAUUCGUAGAUAUCCGGAAAAACACCAGCGGCGAAGGCGGCUCACUGGUUUCGUACUGACCCUGAUGUGCCAAUUCUUGGGGAGCCAAUGGGAUUAUAUACCCUGGUAGUCCACCCCCCUAAACAUGGCAAAUCUACCCUUCC